UACGUAGGGUGCAAGCGUUGUCCGGAAUUAUUGGGCGUAAAGAGCUUGUAGGCGGUUUGUCGCGUCUGCUGUGAAAUUUCGGGGCUCAACCCCGAACUUGCAGUGGGUACGGGCAGACUAGAGUGUGGUAUGGGAGACUGGAAUUCCUGGUGUAGCGGUGAAAUGCGCAGAUAUCAGGAGGAACACCGAUGGCGAAGGCAGGUCUCUGGGCCAUAACUGACGCUGAGAAGCGAAAGCAUGGGGAGCGAACAGG
Molecule: ribosomal RNA, 253 nt
Filed under: uncultured bacterium
Lineage: Bacteria
Description: partial 16S ribosomal RNA
Rfam family: Bacterial small subunit ribosomal RNA
Source: RNAcentral